GGAAGUUAAAAGCAGUGAUAACAUUAAAGUUACCCAAUGCUGCUGUUAAGGAACAAAGGCAGCCAUGGAGAAUACAUAAAUGAAUGGGCGUGGCUCCGUUCCAAUGACUAUUUAUAAAAACAGGAGGCGGGCUGCAUUUAUUCUGCAGAUAUAACUUGAUGACCCUGGAUGCAAAGGUUUUCUAAUGUAAAUCAAUGGCAUUGAAGUCCAAAAUUAAUGGCUUCCCUGUAUUCAUCCCCUUUGCAAAGUGACCUUGCAUAUUCUUCCAUCAAGAGGUGAUGAUCGGUCAAGUGCAGCCGCAAGAGGGUCACAGGAGAGGCCCAGGAAAAUGAGGUUUAUUAUACUCACAGAUCCUUGGGAGACAGAGACAUUGUACAUCAAGAGGAGGUCACAGGAAAGAGUGCCAAGAAAGUGGGCUCAACCAAACAGGCAGGGAGCUGAGAGGCAGUGAGGACCUGUGGGCAAGUGUCUUGAUUGGGGUUCAGGGUGGAGGAUACAGCAAAAGUCUGGAGAGAAUUUCAUUGGUGCAUUUGAAUGUCAGUCGGUCACAGUCAUGGGAUGUCAAGAAGGGAAAAUUGUGGCAGGGCCAGUCUUAUCACAUUGGCGUACCUGGAUGUACAGCUUAUUUGUGAUGAUGUCGAGGAAAUAGGAAAACAUAAAAUUUUAAAAUUAUACGAUAAAUAAAUGACUGUUUUCUCCUACACUGUCCCCUAACUAAAAACAAGAUAGUUGUUGUUUCUUAUCAUGACUUCCAGGUCAUUAUUCCUUUUACCACCUAAAGAAUUCCAACUUCCUUAAGCACAUAUCAAUAAACAGCAAAAGCUUCACUUGGCCAAAUGUCCCUCUCUGGAUUCUGCCCCAUAUAUUGUUUUCUUUCACUGAAAAUCUCUUGGAAACAUGUUUACAUUCUUCUACUACCUUACUUCUUCCUCUGAGGAG
RNAcentral lists this long non-coding RNA (939 nucleotides) under Homo sapiens (human). RNAcentral's name for it is "HSALNT0011370". The record is from RNAcentral. Lineage: Eukaryota; Metazoa; Chordata; Mammalia; Primates; Hominidae.